This 76-nucleotide transfer RNA is filed under the name Pandoraea pnomenusa. RNAcentral describes it as "tRNA-Ala". It matches the Rfam family "tRNA". Rfam says of the family: Transfer RNA (tRNA) molecules are approximately 80 nucleotides in length. Lineage: Bacteria; Pseudomonadati; Pseudomonadota; Betaproteobacteria; Burkholderiales; Burkholderiaceae. The record is from RNAcentral.
UGGGGCGUAGCUCAGCUGGGAGAGCAUCUGCUUUGCAAGCAGGCGGUCAUCGGUUCGAUCCCGAUCGCUUCCACCA